This 244-nucleotide unclassified non-coding RNA is filed under the name Hevea brasiliensis (rubber tree). Lineage: Eukaryota; Viridiplantae; Streptophyta; Magnoliopsida; Malpighiales; Euphorbiaceae. The record is from RNAcentral.
UGCAUUUGUUGACUUUCAGGUAAAGUUAACUCUGUUCUUCUGAAGUGGCAGUUGCUCAACUCAUUCGCACACAUCUUCUGCACGUCCUUCAUCUUUUUAUCUGUUUUUUGAUAAUGAUAAGAUGUCUUUUAUUUUUGUAAGUACAUCUUCAUCCCUAAACUAACACCAUUUUCUUUUUUCUCUUUUGAUUCAUUAUUCCCCUUUUUCAUUGAGCAAAAUCCUUAGCCAGUUAACAAGGAUUGAG